AACGAACGCUGGCGGCAGGCUUAACACAUGCAAGUCGAGCGAGACCUUCGGGUCUAGCGGCGGACGGGUGAGUAACGCGUGGGAACGUGCCCUUCUCUACGGAAUAGCCCCGGGAAACUGGGAGUAAUACCGUAUACGCCCUUUGGGGGAAAGAUUUAUCGGGGGAGGAUCGGCCCGCGUUGGAUUAGGUAGUUGGUGGGGUAAUGGCCCACCAAGCCGACGAUCCCUAGCUGGUUGGAGAGGAGGAUCAGCCACACUGGGACUGAGACACGGCCCAGACUCCUACGGGAGGCAGCAGUGGGGAAUCUUAGACAAUGGGGGCAACCCUGAUAUAGCCAUGCCGCGUGAGUGAUGAAGGCCUUAGGGUUGUAAAGCUCUUUCAGCUGGGAAGAGAAUGACGGUACCAGCAGAAGAAGCCCCGGCUAACUCCGUG
This 433-nucleotide ribosomal RNA is filed under the name uncultured bacterium. Its description in RNAcentral is "partial 16S ribosomal RNA". It matches the Rfam family "Bacterial small subunit ribosomal RNA", at positions 29 to 507 of the family's 1533-position model. The record is from RNAcentral.